This is a long non-coding RNA of Sorex araneus (European shrew), 256 nucleotides long. RefSeq lists it as uncharacterized. NCBI's taxonomy places the organism in Eukaryota, Metazoa, Chordata, Mammalia, Eulipotyphla, Soricidae. The record is from RefSeq and is a predicted model, not a curated record. The transcript is spliced from 3 exons.
GCUGCAGACAAUGGUGAAGAGCCAUAUGAUACACUGUUCCCAGGUGGGAGGAGAACAAUGUGGUGACAUGAUGCAGUGACAGGCAGAAAGAAAAUCGUAGCUUCAGGGGUUUUCACUGCAACAAUUUGAUUUGGGAAUUGAGUCACCAAAAACGAGUGAAUUGGGAAGCAGCCAGCCCUAGUGGAAUGUAUCUGAUCCUGCACUAUAAGACAAUGUCUCAGAGUGAGCAAUCCCGCCCUCUGCCCCAUGGGGAUGC